Molecule: long non-coding RNA, 266 nt
Organism: Rhinolophus ferrumequinum (greater horseshoe bat)
Lineage: Eukaryota; Metazoa; Chordata; Mammalia; Chiroptera; Rhinolophidae
Exons: 3
Source: RefSeq, a predicted model, not a curated record
GCUGUCCCUGGAGAAGGGCUGGUCCAGGCGGCAAGGCCUCAGGUCUUUGGGGAACUUUGGACAACGGUUUUGACUCAUUUUCAAUCGUUAUUUCUUCCUGAAGAGGAUCAAGCUGCCAAAGAUGGUUCAGCCAGGUCCCACUCGAGAGUGCAGUCAUACAGAUUGAGGUGGUGCUGGGCCGGAGCGGAGCACUAACUACGUCCCGCGUGGCCCUAGGACGGCUGCCGGCCCCGCUGGAGCCCAGUGAGGGACUCCACUGCUGCCUC